CCGACGUUCUACAUCGUCCGCCUGGAGGCAAUCACCGUGGCCGGGAGGCGGCUCGACGUGCCGCCGGCUACGUUCGCCGGUGGUGCGGUGAUGGACUCAGGGGCGGUCGUCACGCAGCUGCCACCGUCGGCAUACGCAGCGCUGCGGGCAGCGUUCAGGAGCGCCAUGACGGCGUAUGGCCCGCUUGCGGAUCCCGUACGCAACCUUGACACGUGCUAUGACUUGACCCGCUUCCCCGAGGUCAAUGUCCCCAAGGUGUCCCUAGUGUUCGCAGGCGGUGCCACCUUGGAGCUCGAGCCGGCGUCCAUCAUGCUGGACGGCUGCCUGGCUUUCACGGCCUCCCCUGGCGGCCACGGCUCCAUCGGAUUCAUCGGCAACGUGCAGCAGCAGACCUACGAGGUUUUGUACGACGUCGGCAGCGGGAGCGUGGGAUUCCGCAGUGGCGCGUGCUGA
This 453-nucleotide ribosomal RNA is filed under the name Triticum aestivum (bread wheat). RNAcentral describes it as "partial small subunit ribosomal RNA". The record is from RNAcentral. Lineage: Eukaryota; Viridiplantae; Streptophyta; Magnoliopsida; Poales; Poaceae.